Pristis pectinata (smalltooth sawfish) is the source of this 209-nucleotide small nucleolar RNA. RefSeq annotates it as small nucleolar RNA U3. The record is from RefSeq and is a predicted model, not a curated record. Lineage: Eukaryota; Metazoa; Chordata; Chondrichthyes; Rhinopristiformes; Pristidae. The transcript has a single exon.
UUGUACAUAGUUUGUCUUUUAUUAUGAAUAAAGUUUGUUUUGUUUAAAACAAAGUUCGGUCAAGCAGCCGCGAGGAGGGACUGUGGCGUUCUCUCCUGAGCGCGAAGCAGUUAGCAAGCUUUGUUUUAUACAACGGUUUGCGGGCAUUGAUGACCAAUCCCUUCUCCCACUGCGGGAGUUGUGGAGGGAGGAGGAUCUGUCUGAGUGGU